UACGUAGGGUGCAAGCGUUGUCCGGAAUUAUUGGGCGUAAAGAGCUCGUAGGCGGUUCGUCGCGUCGGCUGUGAAAUCCCGAGGCUCAACCUCGGGUCUGCAGUCGAUACGGGCGGACUGGAGUUCGGCAGGGGAGACUGGAAUUCCUGGUGUAGCGGUGGAAUGCGUAGAUAUCGAGAGGAACACCUGCGGCGAAGGCGGGUUGCUGGGCUGACACUGACGCUGAUGCGCGAAAGCUAGGGGAGCGAACGGG
This 253-nucleotide ribosomal RNA is filed under the name uncultured bacterium. Its description in RNAcentral is "partial 16S ribosomal RNA". It matches the Rfam family "Bacterial small subunit ribosomal RNA", at positions 524 to 776 of the family's 1533-position model. The record is from RNAcentral.